UAAGGAAUAUUGGUCAAUGGACGCAAGUCUGAACCAGCCAUGCCGCGUGAAGGAUGAAGGCCCUCUGGGUUGUAAACUUCUUUUAUCUGGGACGAAAAAUAGGCUUUCUAGCUUACUUGACGGUACCAGAGGAAUAAGCACCGGCUAACUCCGUGCCAGCAGCCGCGGUAAUACGGAGGGUGCAAGCGUUAUCCGGAUUUACUGGGUUUAAAGGGUGCGUAGGUGGGUUGGUAAGUCAGUGGUGAAAUCU
RNAcentral lists this ribosomal RNA (250 nucleotides) under uncultured bacterium. RNAcentral describes it as "partial 16S ribosomal RNA". It matches the Rfam family "Bacterial small subunit ribosomal RNA", at positions 355 to 602 of the family's 1533-position model. The record is from RNAcentral.